Molecule: ribosomal RNA, 494 nt
Filed under: uncultured bacterium
Lineage: Bacteria
Description: partial 16S ribosomal RNA
Rfam family: Bacterial small subunit ribosomal RNA
Source: RNAcentral
GACGAACGCUGGCGGCGCGCUUAACACAUGCAAGUCGAACGGAAAGGCCUGCUUUCCCUUGUGGAUUGCGGGUACUCGAGUGGCGAACGGGUGAGUAACACGUGAGUGAUCUGCCCCCAACUUGGGUAUAAGCCUGGGAAACUGGGUCUAAUUCCCGAUAGGACUGCAGGGUGGUGCCUGUGGUGGAAAACGAUUUUCUAGUGGUUGGGGAUGAGCUCGCGGCCUAUCAGCUUGUUGGUGGGGUAAUGGCCUACCAAGGCGGCGACGGGUAGCCGGCCUGAGAGGGUGGACGGCCACAUUGGGACGGAGAGACGGCCCAGACUCCUACGGGAGGCAGCAGUGGGGAAUAUUGCACAAUGGGCGGAAGCCUGAUGCAGCGACGCCGCGUGGGGGAUGACGGCCUUCGGGUUGUAAACUCCUUUCGACCGCGAGGAAGCCACCUGGUUGGAAGGGUGGUGACGGUAGUGGUAGAAGAAGCACCGGCUAACUACGUG